GUCGAACGGACAGGUAAUGAAACCUAGUGAUUUAUCUGUUAGUGCCGUACGGGUGAGUAACGCGUGGGUAACCUGCCGUAUACAGGGGGAUAACACUUAGAAAUAGGUGCUAAAACCGCGUAAGCGCACAGGAUCGCAUGGUCUGGUGUGAAAAACUCCGGUGGUAUACGAUGGACCCGCGUCUGAUUAGCUUGUUGGUGGGGUAGAGGCCCACCAAGGCGACGAUCAGUAGCCGGCCUGAGAGGGUGAACGGCCACAUUGGGACUGAGACACGGCCCAAACUCCUACGGGAGGCAGCAGUGGGGAAUAUUGCACAAUGGGGGAAACCCUGAUGCAGCGACGCCGCGUGAGUGAAGAAGUAUUUCGGUAUGUAAAGCUCUAUCAGCAGGAAAGAAAAUGACGGUACCUGACUAAGAAGCCCCGGCUAACUACGUGCCAGCAGCCGCGGUAAUACGUAGGGGGCAAGCGUUAUCCGGAUUUACUGGGUGUAAAGGGAGCGUAGACGGUGAAGCAAGUCUGAAGUGAAAGGCGGGGGCUCAACCCCCGGACUGCUUUGGAAACUGUUUGACUGGAGUGCAGGAGAGGUAAGUGGAAUUCCUAGUGUAGCGGUGAAAUGCGUAGAUAUUAGGAGGAACACCAGUGGCGAAGGCGGCUUACUGGACUGUAACUGACGUUGAGGCUCGAAAGCGUGGGGAGCAAACAGGAUUAGAUACCCUGGUAGUCCACGCGGUAAACGAUGAUCACUAGGUGUCGGUGAGUAUAGACUCAUCGGUGCCGUCGCAAACGCAGUAAGUGAUCCACCUGGGGAGUACG
This 813-nucleotide ribosomal RNA is filed under the name uncultured bacterium. RNAcentral's name for it is "bacterial SSU rRNA". It matches the Rfam family "Bacterial small subunit ribosomal RNA", at positions 61 to 884 of the family's 1533-position model. The record is from RNAcentral.